RNAcentral lists this ribosomal RNA (427 nucleotides) under uncultured bacterium. RNAcentral describes it as "partial 16S ribosomal RNA". It matches the Rfam family "Bacterial small subunit ribosomal RNA", at positions 355 to 774 of the family's 1533-position model. The record is from RNAcentral.
UGGGGAAUAUUGCACAAUGGGCGCAAGCCUGAUGCAGCCAUGCCGCGUGUAUGAAGAAGGCCUUCGGGUUGUAAAGUACUUUCAGCGGGGAGGAAGGUGUUGAGGUUAAUAACCUCAGCAAUUGACGUUACCCGCAGAAGAAGCACCGGCUAACUCCGUGCCAGCAGCCGCGGUAAUACGGAGGGUGCAAGCGUUAAUCGGAAUUACUGGGCGUAAAGCGCACGCAGGCGGUCUGUCAAGUCGGAUGUGAAAUCCCCGGGCUCAACCUGGGAACUGCGUUCGAAACUGGCAGGCUAGAGUCUUGUAGAGGGGGGUAGAAUUCCAGGUGUAGCGGUGAAAUGCGUAGAGAUCUGGAGGAAUACCGGUGGCGAAGGCGGCCCCCUGGACAAAGACUGACGCUCAGGUGCGAAAGCGUGGGGAGCAAACA